RNAcentral lists this ribosomal RNA (393 nucleotides) under uncultured bacterium. RNAcentral describes it as "bacterial SSU rRNA". It matches the Rfam family "Bacterial small subunit ribosomal RNA", at positions 505 to 898 of the family's 1533-position model. The record is from RNAcentral.
GUGCCAGCAGCCGCGGUAAUACGUAGGCAGCAAGCGUUGUUCGGAGUUACUGGGCGUAAAGAGUGCGUAGGCGGUCCUUUAAGUUUGGUGUGAAAUCUCCCGGCUCAACUGGGAGGGUGCGCCGAAAACUGGAGGGCUUGAGUGUGGGAGAGGCAAGCGGAAUUCCUGGUGUAGCGGUGAAAUGCGUAGAUAUCAGGAGGAACACCUGUGGUGUAGACAGCUUGCUGGACCAUAACUGACGCUGAGGCACGAAAGCGUGGGUAGCAAACAGGAUUAGAUACCCUGGUAGUCCACGCCCUAAACGAUGCAUACUUGGUGUGAGCCAUUCAUUUGGUUCGUGCCGGAGCUAACGCGUUAAGUAUGCCGCCUGGGGAGUACGGUCGCAAGGCUGAA